Molecule: ribosomal RNA, 590 nt
Filed under: Criconemoides sp. yu XZ-2021
Lineage: Eukaryota; Metazoa; Nematoda; Chromadorea; Rhabditida; Criconematidae
Description: SSU rRNA
Rfam family: Eukaryotic small subunit ribosomal RNA
Source: RNAcentral
CUGACCGUAAACGAUGCCAACUAGCGAUCCGUCGGUGGCUUCUUGGCCCUGAUGGGGAGCUUCCCGGAAACGAAAGUCUUCCGGUUCCGGGGGAAGUAUGGUUGCAAAGCUGAAACUUAAAGGAAUUGACGGAAGGGCACCACCAGGAGUGGAGCCUGCGGCUUAAUUUGACUCAACACGGGAAAACUCACCCGGCCCGGACACCGUGAGGAUUGACAGAUUGAUAGCUUUUUCAUGAUUCGGUGGAUGGUGGUGCAUGGCCGUUCUUAGUUCGUGGAUCGAUUUGUCUGGUUUAUUCCGAUAACGAGCGAGACUCCAGCCUACUAACUAGUGCGAGCAUUGCCUUUGUGCUUGCCACUUCUUAGAGGGAUUGGCUGCGUCUAGCGGCACGAAACGGAGCAAUAACAGGUCUGUGAUGCCCUUAGAUGUCCGGGGCUGCACGCGCGCUACACUGGCAAAGGCAGCGUGCUUGUCCGUCUCCGAAAGGAGUCGGUAAACCCUUGAAAAUUUGCCGUGAUUGGGAUCGGAAAUUGCAAUUAUUUUCCGUGAACGAGGAAUUCCUAGUAAGUGCGAGUCAUCAGCUCGCGUUG